UACGGAAGGCAGCAGUGGGGAAUAUUGCACAAUGGGCGCAAGCCUGAUGCAGCCAUGCCGCGUGUAUGAAAAAGGCCUUCGGGUUGUAAAGUACUUUCAGUCGUGAGGAAGGUGUUAAGGUUAAUAACCUUAGCAAUUGACGUUAGCGACAGAAGAAGCACCGGCUAACUCCGUGCCAGCAGCCGCGGUAAUACGGAGGGUGCGAGCGUUAAUCGGAAUUACUGGGCGUAAAGGGCACGCAGGCGGUUAAUUAAGUUGGAUGUGAAAUCCCCGGGCUUAACCUGGGAAUGGCAUUCAAGACUGGUUAGCUAGAGUCUUGUAGAGGGGGUAGAAUUCCAUGUGUAGCGGUGAAAUGCGUAGAGAUGUGGAGGAAUACCGGUGGCGAAGGCGGCCCCUGGGACAAAGACUGACGCUCAUGUGCGAAAGCGUGGGGAGCAAACAGGGAUUAGAUACC
RNAcentral lists this ribosomal RNA (454 nucleotides) under uncultured bacterium. RNAcentral's name for it is "bacterial SSU rRNA". It matches the Rfam family "Bacterial small subunit ribosomal RNA", at positions 340 to 786 of the family's 1533-position model. The record is from RNAcentral.